Molecule: ribosomal RNA, 450 nt
Filed under: uncultured bacterium
Lineage: Bacteria
Description: partial 16S ribosomal RNA
Rfam family: Bacterial small subunit ribosomal RNA
Source: RNAcentral
CCUACGGGGGGCUGCAGUGGGGAAUAUUGGACAAUGGGGGAAACCCUGAUCCAGCAAUGCCGCGUGUGUGAAGAAGGCCUGCGGGUUGUAAAGCACUUUCGGUUGGGAAGAAAAGUUUGGCGCCAAUACCGCCGAACCUUGACGUUACUGACAGAAGAAGCACCGGCUAACUCUGUGCCAGCAGCCGCGGUAAUACAGAGGGUGCAAGCGUUAAUCGGAAUCAGUGGGCGUAGUCAGGGCGUUGAUGUGCGAAAUCCCCGGGCUUAACCUGGGAACUGAAUUCGAUACUACAUGGCUAGAGUAUGGUAGAGGGAAGUGGAAUUUCCGGUGUAGCGGUGAAAUGCGUAGAUAUCGGAAGGAACACCAAUGGCGAAGGCAGCUUCCUGGACUAAUACUGACACUGAGGCACGAAAGCGUGGGGAGCAAACAGGAUUAGAUACCCUGGUAGUC